This 354-nucleotide ribosomal RNA is filed under the name Hymenosoma depressum. RNAcentral's name for it is "partial 12S ribosomal RNA". Lineage: Eukaryota; Metazoa; Arthropoda; Malacostraca; Decapoda; Hymenosomatidae. The record is from RNAcentral.
CCCUAUUAUUUUAAAUUUAAAUUAUUCUUUAUAAUAGUUAUUUUCUUAAAAUUUAAAGAAUUUGGCGGUAGUUUAAUCUAUCUAGAGGAAUUUGUAUAAUAAUCGAUACACCUCGUUGAAUUUCACUUAUUUUAAAAGUUUGUAUAUCAUCAUUAACAGAUUAUAUUUAAAAAUAAUUAUUAAUAUUGAUUAAUUAUAAAAAUUAGAUCACGAUACAGCUAUAAGUAAGAAUAUAUUAAUUACAAUAAUUUUAUUUAAUUUGGAUUGUUAUAGGAAGUUACAACAUGAAAUUGGAUUUAGUUGUAUUAAAAAAAUUAAUAAAGUUUUAAGAUAUAAGAUCUAAAUUGUGUACAC